Chlorocebus sabaeus (green monkey) is the source of this 1154-nucleotide long non-coding RNA. RefSeq lists it as uncharacterized. The record is from RefSeq and is a predicted model, not a curated record. NCBI's taxonomy places the organism in Eukaryota, Metazoa, Chordata, Mammalia, Primates, Cercopithecidae.
CGUUUGCAGGAGGUUAUAUGGGGACACCACCCUUCAGUUUUGCUGGUUGGUGGAUGGUUUCCCGGGUUCACGCCGCCCCCACAGCCCUGCGCCUGCGCAUUGAGCGCCUGCAGCUCCCAUGGGCCCGGUAGGCGGCGCUGUCCCCAUUGUGCCGCAGAGGCAGAGCUGGGAGGCCCCGCCAGGCCCUGCGCCUCCCCGCACCCCACCAGGGUCCCGCCCGCUCCCAAAGUGGGUGGGACGGAGGGAGGGCAGCAGGGGCAGGAGAACUUGUUCUCCUACCGUGCUUGGGCUGUUUCCUAGGGGCUAAAUGAGAAGCCUCACUUGAACACUGUUGGGAAAGUUUGCAGCUCGUCCAGCAGAUGCCUUGGGGCCCUGAGUUCACACCUGCCUCAGUGUGAAGGUCAUUAGGACCUCCAUGGACUCCCAGUUGUCCACGCAGGGACCUCAGCUGAGAAGUCCUGAAUCAGCCUGCUUUCCCUGGGACCAAGGCCUGGACAUUCCCACCCCUGCCUGUGCCAUGGCCUUCAGAUGGAGGCUAUCUUUGAAGUGCCUGUGGCCAGCUGUGACUGGCCCUACCCACAGGCCACCAUGCCCGGCUGCCCAGAGGAAUGGAAUCACAGCCAGUGGCUGGGCGGCUGAGAGUGGCUGUGCCCAUGGCAACGGUCAUCUGAGAUGAGCUUCCUCCCCACCUGGCCUCAGGUUUCUGGCCCAGAGAGAAUUCCAGAAGAGCCUCAUUGAAAGUCCCUGGCAGGGCGGGGCCCCUGGUAUCUGGGACAAAAGCUGGCUAUUCUCAGGACCAGGGUGGACAGAGCCACUGAUUGUCUGCAGCCUCUUUCUGUCUAGUCUCUGUAGCUUCUUGGUAAAUGGGGGGAGAUGUGAUUUCAUGGGGAACCUGGGAGACUCCUCCCUGCUGUGUGGCCCUGGGGAGGUUCCUUCACCUCUCUGGGAGUGCUUCCUCUCAUGCAGCUGGACGGAGCUCAUGAAGGCAGAGUCCUACACAGUGCCUGUGGCACACAGCAAGCAGUGCAUAAAUGCAUACAUGUUAGCGCUGGUGCUUCCCCUGCCCUUUCCUCCCUAGUUUCCUGUGUUUUUCCUUCUUUUUGUCAUGAUUUGAGCCCAUCUGUGGCAUUCACUGGGGAAAGAGCAAAGAAGGC